Molecule: long non-coding RNA, 361 nt
Organism: Stegodyphus dumicola
Lineage: Eukaryota; Metazoa; Arthropoda; Arachnida; Araneae; Eresidae
Source: RefSeq, a predicted model, not a curated record
UUUUUAUCGUCUGUCGCCGACUAGGUCACGUGACUGGCGGCAGAGAAGGAAUGUAUUACACUCUCUUUUAGUCAGCUUGAGGGCGACGCCUUGAAAAUGAUCUGAUCUUGGCCACAUAGCGUAUUUGAUGGUAUGACUUUGUGCUUAUGAGGUGAAAGAAUUCAUAACAAGGAGAAUUCACCGAAAAAAGAAAUGAAAGGAACAAGCGAUUUCUCGGCGGCGGGGAGAAAACUAUGUAAAACCGAAGAGAGCAUCAGUUUCUAUUGAGAAAUCUCCGUGUGAGCUUCGCCUUUUAGAUGCGCUUUGCAUUACGCUGUGUUUAACGUUCUUGAUAGCUUGAAGUGUAGCUACUGAUUGUGCU